GUUUAUCCCACUUCAGCAGCACAUACACUAAAAUUGAAAUGAUGCAGACAUUAGCAUGGCCCUUGCCCAAGGACUGCAUGCAAAUUUAUGAAGUGUUGCAUAUUUUU
Talpa occidentalis (Iberian mole) is the source of this 107-nucleotide small nuclear RNA. The record is from RefSeq and is a predicted model, not a curated record. NCBI's taxonomy places the organism in Eukaryota, Metazoa, Chordata, Mammalia, Eulipotyphla, Talpidae.